CAUGCAAGAUCUUGUAAAAUGCUUUAUUGGAACCAAGAAAUGUUGCGCUUAAAGCUUACAAAACAGAGACAGCUAAAGCUUUCUUUCAUAAGCAACAAUUGUCUUCUCCAUCCCCACCUCAUUGGAACUGACAUGAUGAAGGAUUUGAAAGUUUCAUAACUUAACUCAGCGAAGCUCAGUAGUACAUUUAGUAUUGGUUAUACAACAUUUGUUUAAUAAAUGCAAUGAACAAAGCUACACAGGAAUUAGAUAUUGAAGCAGAAAAGGUGGUUUUACAGUCCCUGCAUUAACCUCUAAUUCUUACUACCCUGGCCAAGAAAGCAUUUUCACCUCCUGCGCUUUCCUUCCUGUGUGCUUGUGGUUGGUUCUUUCUUCUCAGGCUUUCUCAUUCUGAUGCUGAGAUAGUUCUGUUCACUUAGCAACUUGGGACAGUGACACAGGGUUUGUUCUGUACUUUCUUUUCCACCCCACCCCCCACC
This 479-nucleotide long non-coding RNA is filed under the name Homo sapiens (human). Its description in RNAcentral is "lncAB47.1". The record is from RNAcentral. Lineage: Eukaryota; Metazoa; Chordata; Mammalia; Primates; Hominidae.